RNAcentral lists this long non-coding RNA (244 nucleotides) under Nicotiana benthamiana. RNAcentral's name for it is "long non-coding RNA (NBEN_LNC037786)". The record is from RNAcentral. Lineage: Eukaryota; Viridiplantae; Streptophyta; Magnoliopsida; Solanales; Solanaceae.
UAUUAUUCUUAAUCCCUGCAUUUGAAUAACAAACCACCAUUCAAAUUCACUUCAGUAGAGUUGGGACAGAAGCCACGUUCCGUCAUUUUACCCUUCUUUGGUUGCCGUCGGCUGGUGGAGUUGGGACCGAGGCCAUGUUCCUUUGUAUUACGAUUUUUUUAGCUAUCUGCUUGUGAAUUUUCAAAUGGGUUCUGAUCUGUGUAUUUUGGUUGUCUUGUCUGUUAAAAAAGGGAACUGAAUUAGC